AAUCCAUGAGUGAAACAUUUCUGCAAAAGCUCCCUGUAUCGCUCCCAAGCCUCAUGCAUGAUUCAUCAUAUGCCUGCCGAAAAGAAGUAAUAUCAUUAUGCAAUU
Small nucleolar RNA from Hibiscus syriacus, 105 nucleotides. The record is from RefSeq and is a predicted model, not a curated record. NCBI's taxonomy places the organism in Eukaryota, Viridiplantae, Streptophyta, Magnoliopsida, Malvales, Malvaceae.